AGCCUUCUGUAUUCGUGCUGAGAUUUCUUCACACACCAUACCACAAGGGCUGAUGAGACUUCUAAGAUAAGUGAAGCG
This is a non-coding RNA of Schistosoma margrebowiei, 78 nucleotides long. The record is from Rfam. NCBI's taxonomy places the organism in Eukaryota, Metazoa, Platyhelminthes, Trematoda, Strigeidida, Schistosomatidae.